This is an RNA transcript of Onychostoma macrolepis, 2491 nucleotides long. It is a transcript of the gene named protein adenylyltransferase SelO-like, with no coding region annotated. Lineage: Eukaryota; Metazoa; Chordata; Actinopteri; Cypriniformes; Cyprinidae. The transcript is spliced from 18 exons. The record is from RefSeq and is a predicted model, not a curated record.
AGUAUUGUUUGUGUUACAAAGGAAAUAUUACUGAUUUCUCCUCUAGUUCUGCGAUGAGAUUAAGUGCGGAUGCAAAUAACUUCAUGUUUGUGAGAUUGAUGUAAUGACAAAACAUGGUUUCACAUUAUUUUUAUUAUUCUCGGCCGUCGCUAGUACUAUAUGUAGACACGAACAAGAUUUCUGUGAGAGUGAGAGUUGCAAUGAACGAGAGUUUGAGCAGAAUCACUUCUAUACCAAUGUAAAAACAUAUGGAGAAAUAUCACUAACAUUAUCACAUAAACUUUUAGAUGCUCUCCCUUUUGAGGAGGUGGAUGGUCAUUUUACUCGUACUGUGAAGGGAUGUGUGUUUUCAGAGUGUCAGCCCACGCCUCUGAAACAGCCCCUGACACUGGCUGCUGUCUCACAGGAUGUGUUGAGGAAUAUGUUGGAUCUGAAUGAGUCUGUGAUUCAGAAUGAAGAAUUUGUUCUUUGUGUCAGUGGUGGAAAACUGUUUCCUGGCUCUAUUCCACUGGCACACAGAUACGGAGGCCAUCAGUUUGGUUAUUGGGCAGGGCAGCUGGGGGAUGGAAGAGCACAUUUGCUGGGUGAAUAUACAAACAGAAAAGGUGAAAGAUGGGAACUCCAGUUGAAAGGCUCAGGAAAGACACCGUACUCAAGGUCUGGUGAUGGACGGGCUGUGAUUCGCUCCUCUGUGAGGGAGUUCCUGUGCAGUGAAGCCAUGCAUUUUCUGGGGGUUCCCACAAGCAGAGCCCUCAGUCUGGUUGUAAGUGAGGAGCCUGUAUGGAGGGAUCAAUUGUAUAAUGGAAAUGUCAUAAAAGAAAGAGGAGCGGUUGUUUUGCGCCUGGCCAAGUCCUGGUUUCGUAUUGGUUCGCUGGAGAUAUUAACUAGAACUGGAGAGUUAGAUGUCCUGCGGACAUUAUUGGACUUUAUAAUUAAAGAGCAUUUUAAAUCUAUUGUGAUGAAUGACCCUGACAAGUAUGUGGUGUUUUUCUCUAUAGUGGUGAAUGAAACCGCACAUUUAAUCGCUCGCUGGAUGUCAGUUGGGUUUGCUCAUGGAGUAUGCAACACAGAUAACUUCAGUCUGCUUUCUAUCACUAUUGACUAUGGCCCAUUUGGAUUUAUGGAAUCAUAUGACCCAAAUUUUGUGCCCAACACAUCUGAUGAUGAGGGCCGGUACAGUAUAGGAGCUCAGGCUAAUGUGGGCCUGUUCAAUCUACAGAAACUUCUAGAAGCUCUGAAACCACUGCUGAAUUCAGACCAGCUGUCACAGUGUCAGCAAAUACUGAGAGAAUAUUUACAAACCUACCAUCAAAGAUUCCAUGAACUGUUCAAAGCAAAGUUAGGCUUUCUGGGAAAUCAAGAAAAGGAUUCAUAUGUGAUUGCAUUUCUUCUAAAGCUGAUGGAGGACACUGGAGCAGACUUCACCAUGACUUUCAGACAGCUGAGUGAAGUCACUCUGUCCCAGCUUCAGAUGGGCUCCAUUCCUCUGGUACAUUUCCACUCCAUUCACACCCACAGCAGCUGCAAUAUCCAUAAUCAUGAUUUCAGUCCAUUAACUGUGUCUCUUAACAGUCAAUGUGGGCUCUAUCAGACCUCUCAUCACAUGAGUAUUUCAGAGACUGGGUUCAGCUGUAUUUAAAGCGUCUGUCAAGGUAACAUUGCUGCAAUCUACACUUGCAUGCAUUAGAGUAUUGAAAUUAACAUCUCUUAAUGUUAAUCAUCUCUCAAAGGAUGAAAAGUGACUCAGAUGCAGCACGUCAGCAAAGAAUGCAAGGAGUCAACCCACGGUAUGUAUUGAGGAACUGGAUGGCUGAAUCUGCUAUCAGAAAAGCAGAGAAAAAUGACAUUUCAGAGGUGGCGCUGUUGCAGAAGACUCUAACAGAGCCGUUUGAGGAGCAGGAGGAGGCUGAGAGAGCCGGAUACUCUAGUAAACCUCCAUCCUGGGCUCAGCAGCUGAGGGUCAGCUGUUCUUCCUAAUCUAUUUUGCCAAUGUGUAGGUGAGGGUGUCGAUGCAGUGGAGGAGGCCUGGAUAGUGCGGUUAGCCCACGUUGCAGAGCCUGCAGCUUUCCUCACAGCAGACUUGUAGUUGUCAUAUAACUGCUUACCAUACUAUGAAAGAAAUCAUGACUGUCAUCAUUUACUGACUAUCAAGUUGUUCUAAAUCUGUUUCUUUCUUCUGUUGAACACAAAAUAAAAUAUUUUGAAUGUUGGUAACCAAAUAGAUGCUUGUAGCCAUUGACUUUUAUUUGAUUUUUGAUUUUUUUUUUUUCCCCAUACUAUGGAAGUCAAUGGGUACCAGCAACUGUUCAGUUACCAACAUUCUUCACAAUAUCUCCUUUUGUGUUCAGCAAAAGAAAGAAACUCAUACAGGUUUGGAACAACUUGAGGGUGAGUAAAUGAUUUCAUUUUUGGGUGAACUAUUCCUUUAAUACCCAACAAUAGAACCGAAUACAACAUAGCUGAAGUGUACAGUGUACAUAUUUGUAUUGUA